Long non-coding RNA from Mauremys mutica (yellowpond turtle), 1446 nucleotides. RefSeq lists it as uncharacterized. The record is from RefSeq and is a predicted model, not a curated record. The transcript is spliced from 4 exons. NCBI's taxonomy places the organism in Eukaryota, Metazoa, Chordata, Testudines, Geoemydidae.
GGCUGUAAAAUAUAUCAAAUGGGUUAUAAAGAGAGCAUUUGGAAUCUUAGCAAUUAGAUUCAGGUGCCUGCACCAAACUGGUGGGACACUGCCAUAUGGCCCAGAAGAGAGCAACAGGACACUCCUAGUAAGUUUGUGUGCCCCGCCAGCAUUGCCACCAGAUGUAGCUUUGCCAAUAUCAGCAUUACCACUGGAUGGGGCUAACAAUGUAUGGAGGAGCCUGAGGGGUAUCAGGAGGACAGUGCUGGCAGAACGUGUAAUAAUGACCACAGCCCAGGACUUGAUCUCAGGACUACAAAAGACAGCAUGAUUGCCACCAGUUUUGCAGACAGGCACAUCAGAAUAAUGUGACUCAGUGUUUACCCACUUUUCGUCUGGAUAUUCCUGGAACUGCACCACUCACAGAGAGAGCUGUGCUGCAAUUUGGGGCUGCAAAACCUCCCUCUACAUAUGGCUGCACAGGGUUUGCUGGAUGAUCCCAGACAGGGGAGGUCCAACCAUUUUAACUACAUGUGCCCCAGCAAAACGUUAAGCCUGGACCUAAAGGGGAAAAUGUUUCCCAGUGUCACUCCAGAAAGUCCAGCUUGCUGGGAAAUCCAACAGAAAAUUAAUUACCAAGGCCAUUUCCUGGAUGGCAACGGGCCUGAAGAGAUACAAACCUGGAUGUCUGAACGGUCCAGAAAGGCGAAAUGUUCCAUGGAAACUCAGAGCUCUUCUUUGCCAUGAGGCCUGCAAAAAAAGUGGCAACAGCUCUGCUACCAGUGUGCUGGCCAAUACUGUCUAAUUGUACUCCCCUGUCUGUCUGUCUCCAUCUAUUGUCUCUUAUCUCAUUCUUAGAUUGUCAGCUCCUUGGGGCAGAGACCAUCUUGUUCUGCAUUUGUACAGCACCUAGCACAGUGGGUCAUGGCCCAUGACUAGGACUCCUAGGCUCUAUGAUAAUACAAGUAAAUAAUAAUAAUAAAGAACCCCGGAGUUUCCAUCUCCCUGGUAAUUCUUGCUGACCCUCCCUAUGACCUACUCCCUUGGGUUAUAAAACCCUACCCACAUCACGUAUGCCUUUACCAGGUACUGCUUCAGCUACUACCUCAGCAAGAGCCUUUGGGAGUUGUAAGGUGGCCUGGAAAUUCCUGCUCAAGCACACAUGCUGCUGAAUGUCUAUCCCCCAUGCAGAAUGUUUUGCAGCACUUGUUCAUGCCUGGACUGAGUUCGGGCAUCACUGCAUUUCACCCUUUGGAGAGCCCUGGGAUGCAGGAGCAAUUGUAGAUGCGCUCAUCUGAUUCAGGAUACCCUCUGCGAAGGCCACAGCAAGGGGCAGAGACAUGAGUGGUUCUAUUUUGGCUGUUUUCUGUUGUUGUAUCCUCUAAUGAUGAUUUAAUGCCUAAAAUUCUUGUGCAUUACAUCAAAUUUCAUUCCCAGGGUAGGGAAAAGAGAACAAGAAAACUAUUU